UUUCUUUAUCUUUGGAAGUACCCUACAUGCCCUGUAUUUUGGUUAAUCGCAUUAGUAUUAAAGAGAAGUAUGGUGUUGUUCAUGCCACACCACGCAUAUAGAAAAUAUAGGAGUUGAUAUGGACCUUUUAGUCUGUUGUACCACCUUCUUGGGGUAAAUGUGAUUGGUUUGUUACUGUAAGGAAUCUGUUGUAAUCACCUUCGUAUUAAUUUAUGUGAGGCUAUUCCUUGUGUAUUACCAUGGCCCUUAACUUUCUUAAUAUUGAGUAAAGUGAUGCGAACAGGAGGUUGGUCCAAGAUGAUCAUACCAUACGUAUUGGAAUGGAAAUAUGGGGCUUCAAUUAACAUUACCAACCCCUAAUUGAGGCUGUAGAUUUGACAUUGUGUAUGAAUUUUAUAAGGCGUGUAAGGCUUAUACCAGGAAAACACUUUGAGGCUUAGGGUCACAGGGAAAUGUUGGGGGUCACAUGAUUCAGUUGUCACAUAUUUUCUUUAACGUGUAUUUUCUGUAAAUAUAUUUUUUUUGGCUGAGUUACAUAUUUUUUUUACUUCUUUUCCUUUCUUAUUUAUAUGAAUGUUUUAUAUAUUUUAGGUAUUUUAAUGAAAAAUAGUUGCUUAAUGGCCCACUUAGGUGAGGGCCUGGGACUUCGUACAUAAUUCACUUAGUUGUAUCUUGUCUUUUUCUUUUUCUCUUUCUUCCCUCCCCUGUGAAAGAGGGCGUUAGGCUUUCAGGUCUCAAAAAUCAUGUUUCUGAGAGGAAGUUCUAGUUCAGAUUUCAGUUGUUGCAGUUGUAAUACGGGUUUGGGGAUUCACAGUUAAAUGACAAUACUAGUGGAGGAUCUAAUGAGUUAGCCAUUCAAUGUGGACAUCUUUUGUUCUCUAUACUUUUGAUGACAGGUUCAUAGUCCAUUUUGGAGGAGAGAAACUGCAGAUUUAACACAAUCAGUUUGGGAAUUGAUUGAUCUGAUCACUAUCUGGGUGGUUCACACGACCUUGAUUGUAUGUUGCCAUGAUUAUCAGGAGCACCUUCAAAUUAAAGUCGACCGAUGCUAUUUCAGCCAGACCAGUCUUUCUGGACUUGGAAGUGCUUUCAGAGAUUCAUGUGGCUUCACCAUAUGGGUUUUCUUGAGGCCAAUCGGAACUGGACUUCGUUACAGCUAACUCACGGCUGUGGUUUUUCAUAGUGUUUGUAAAAGCAAACCUGAAGGUCAGUUCAGAUGAUCUUUGACUACUUUCAGCAAAGUUGGUUUAGGCGGUUGAAAAAACUGUAACUGAGACUGUUCAACAGUUAUGGUUUCUUAACCGUCUGAUCCAGUUUUCAAAAUCUGGUUAGGGGAAUUUGGUACGUAGAGCUUAUUUGUAAUUCAGUGGUAGUUUGGGGUGUUUUUCUUUGUCUUAUGAGGGUCAUGGAGGCUCUCUUAUUGGUAUACUAACACAUCAUCCCGGUGGGUGCUGAGAUCAUUUAUCAAUUUAGCAGAAGAUGGCCAACCAGUGUUUGAAGGAGUACUAUGCAUGAGGGGCUGGGUUUCCUGGUUCAGUGGUUUUUGUAUUUAUCUAUAUUUUUUUCCUUUGUUUCAUUACUGUUUUUUUCCCUUGUGUCACUUCGCUUUUAGUGGGUACCUUGUACAGUAAGGGGAAAAAAGGGUGUACCGUGUACCCAGUCCACAAGGCUCCCGCCACUGCAGGGUCUUAGGGGGGUCAUAAUGUAUGCUGCCUUACCCCCGCUUUUUUGCGGGGUGGCUGCUUACUGACUCGAAACUGCGACCACUAAAUCGCAAUGGAGUAACCUUACGGUUGCGCUGAGGCCUGCCUCUGAUACCUUGUUCGAUAAGAAACUUAUAUAAAAGGAAAAUACAAUAAGAUCUUAGUAGUGUAUUAGUAUCUACUAAAGACUUAAAAUUGACACUACAUAAACCACCCCACGAAUUCUAGUUUUUAGUGGAUGAGCAACACCCAGACCAUGGGCUUGGUCUGGCCCAAAGGUCCAGUUGAAGAACUAUGAGCCUGGUUCUUCUUAGGCCUGCGGCUGUA
This is a long non-coding RNA of Macadamia integrifolia, 2030 nucleotides long. RefSeq lists it as uncharacterized. The record is from RefSeq and is a predicted model, not a curated record. NCBI's taxonomy places the organism in Eukaryota, Viridiplantae, Streptophyta, Magnoliopsida, Proteales, Proteaceae. The transcript has 3 exons.